This is a non-coding RNA of Poecilia reticulata (guppy), 391 nucleotides long. The record is from RefSeq and is a predicted model, not a curated record. NCBI's taxonomy places the organism in Eukaryota, Metazoa, Chordata, Actinopteri, Cyprinodontiformes, Poeciliidae.
UGUAUUUGUAUAGAUCUGAAUAUCUGCUCGGUUCAUCAAUAAAUCACUUAAUUACAAUAUUGCUCCGACGUUUUCGGAGAUGUCUGCUCCCGCUGCAUUAACAGCCAGCUCCCCUCGCCUGCUGUUAGCUGGCCGGGCACUCCAGUCCCUGGCUGGAAGUCCGCCUCGUUGUUUCCUCGGUGCCCUCACGCUGACUUGCCUUUCCGCCCUCCAACGCCACGCCCGUCCUCGACCAACCAAGGCCCUCAUCACGAUCUCCACAACCUGUUACCAAGUCCCGUCCGCAGAUCCAAAACUUCAACAACCGCUCCGGAGUUCCUGGCCGCAGUCAUCCUUUCUGUUGCUCUGUCGAGUCACUUGUAAAUAUUGUAAAUAAACUAUUUGCAUUCAU